AAAAAGGCCUUGUUCAAGGCCAAAGGAGGAAUACAAAUAGAUAUUCU
Non-coding RNA from Xenopus laevis (African clawed frog), 47 nucleotides. NCBI's taxonomy places the organism in Eukaryota, Metazoa, Chordata, Amphibia, Anura, Pipidae. The record is from Rfam.